GCUACACCCAUAGCAUAUGGAGGUUCCCAGGCUAGGGGUCAAAUCUGAGCUGCAGCUGCUGGCCCACACCACAGCCACAGCAACACUACAUCCAAGCUGUGUCUGCAACCUACACCACGGCUCACAGCAAUGCCAGAUCCUUAACCCAUUGAACGAGGCCAGGGAUUGAACCCACAACCUCAUGGUUCCCAGUCAAAUUCCUUUCUGUUGUGCCAUGACGGGAACUCCUGGCCAAAUUUUAAUGUUGGUUGCAUUUUAGCCUAUAAAGGUUCUGUCUCUACACAGACACUGUCAUUUUAAUAUAGCAUUAAUUGCAGUUAUGGGCAGGGUACUUAUGUCUUUUACAAUCCCACCAACACCAUUCAGCCUAAUCCUCUAAAAUGGGUGAUAAGCUAUUCCUUAACUUAAAGCUUGCCAAAUAUGCCUGCUGCACUAGAGCCCCUACAAACAAUAAGAAGCAGCCCAAGAGUCACUAAGGCCCCAUGCUGUCCAGCUGUCACUUCAAAGGUUGUCAUUUCCAUCCAUCCACCUGACAUGCUGCCAUUUAUACAUUAUGGAAGCUGGUCCCCCAGCCUGUUUCAAAGACCCAGAUAAAGUGCCCACUCUUCAUGAUGAAGUGUGUGAAUGUACUGAUGAAUACUCUACAGAGCUUGGCAGCCUUCCUUGCGCUCUUUCUUCCUCUGGUAGCAACUUUCUUACCCUCCUCCAUUCAACUGAAAUGUCACAUCUUCAGGGGACCCAGACCAACCUACGCCAUAGAUCAUUCCUGUCUGUAUCAUUCACAGCAGUUUCACCACCUGUAAUCAUUUCUAUUUCUAUUUACCUUCUUUCUAACUAGAAAGCAACCUUCACCUUUCCCAGGGCACAGACAGUGCCUGUUGACUGAAUAUCAAAGAAUAGUGAGACAACACUAUCAGAGACAAUUUUGAGUAGAAACGAAAAAGGAAGAUUGCUUGCUGGUUUUGUUCAUGGAAUCUCAUAUACUUUUGUUUUGCUUAUCAAAAAAUCAAUGACUUCUGGAGUCCUGUUGUGGCUCAGUGGAAAUGAAUCUGAAUAUUCAUGAGGAUUCAGGUUUGAUCCCUGGCCUUGCUCAGCAGGUCAGGGAUCCAGCAUUGCUGUGGGCUGUGGUGUAGGUAGCAGACACAGCUCAGAUCCCAAUUUGUUGUGGCUGUGGCACUGGCCAACAGCUACAGCUCUGAUUUGACCCCUAACCUGGGAACUUCCAUAUGCCACAGGUGUGGCUCUCAAAAAAAAAAAAAAGAAAAAAAAUUGCAGAAAAAAAAUUAACAACUUCUGACUGUAACUGGAUCAAAAUGUUGGGGCAGUCUCCAGCAGACAGCCAUCUAGGCUCUUGAGUGUUAACCAGAGCGAGGUAGGUACAUCUUUUUCAUGUGGUGCCUUCCACCUUGUGGAGCUGAACCCAGGGUUGACAGAGACCUGAGAGUCAGGAUGGAAUAUAUUUUUUAAAAAAUAGUAGCUGACAUUAGUGUCACCAGAAUCGAGAGGGGCCCAGAGCUAUGAGUCUGACUGCAAGACAAGCAGGCAGGGGCCGAAAGUCUGUGAGUGUUUAAGGGAAGAUGCCAUACUGUCUUAAAGAUUCUUGGCCCCUAGAGCAGCAGUCCCUCCUGCAUGGGGGCAUCGUCUGGGAACCAAGUGUCAGGAACCAAGAGAAAUGGCUAAUAUCAUCUAGCUGAGGAUAUCCAACUGGCCACAUUUAGCUAAAUGUGGGGAGGAGAUGAAAACUUGAGAGUGGAGGACAAGAAUCAUCAGCUAGAGAUGAGCAAAUAUUUUCAUACUCUGAGUAAACUGGCAGGUCAAGCAACUAGAUUAGUAUCCAUUCAUCCAUCCAUCCAUCCAUCCAUCCAACCAUCCAUCCAACCGAUCAUCCAUUAUCCACUGGGAUCUUGUAAUGGACCCGCAGCAUCAUGCUUGACCCUAAGGAUACAGAGAAAAGACUCGACAAUGUCUUUGAGGAGUUCAUGGUCUAGUAAGGAGACAGGCAUUUAAAUGGAUAAAUACAACACAGUGAUCUAUGCCAUAACAGCAACUGUACUGGGAACUUUGAGCUCAGAGAAGGAAGCUCCACCCCCCCCACCCCACCCACCCUCCCCACCCCUGUUAUGCCAAGGAGUUGGAAUUUGCAUUGAUCCUUGAAGGAGGACAUGGAGUUUCCCAGGGGGAGAAAAUGGGGUGGAUCCUUUUAGACAGAGAAAGAAAAGCAGCUAGUUGUGGGAGAAUCUGGAAUGUUUAGGGAUCCACAGACAUUUAAGGUGGAUGAAAUGUGAGGUAUGGAGGGGAGCUGUUGUGAGAGAGACUACAGUGGGGGUGGCCUGAUGGCGGAAGCCCUUGUGUACCUCACCAUGAAGUUGGAGUACCAUUUUCCUAUGAAUGAGAAGUCUCUGGAAAAGAACUGCAUGACUAGGUUUUUGGUUUUUUUAUGCACACACACAUAAGAUAGACAAUUCUGGGUGGAAGAAAAUGUCUAGAAGGCCACAGGAUUGGAAAGCCAGCUUGAUAACUGUUCGUGAGAGAUGCCCAGCCAAAGAUAACUGACCUUAUUUUCUAGACCAAGCAUCCAAUCUCAAAUGCCUUCAAAGUCUGAUAAUAAGUGUAUGAAGUUUCUGGGUGUGAGUAUUCUGUCUAAAGAAUUCAAAUUCAAAUGUCAAAAAUGCUCUGCCAAACCAAUCACAUGAGUGGCCAGUAUAACUUUACUCAGUGAGCCUGUGAUUUCUGCUGUAGAAAUUGGGGAGUUGGAGGUGAUUUCUGAUGAGGAGAAUUGUAGUGGAUGCUGUUGGUAUUGGUGCUCUCUGCCCAGAUCCCAUUGGUUCACCUUGGAGGUCAUCUGAGACAGCUGCCCUCAACUCAAGCUGAUGGUUUCCUGCAUCUCUCUGCCUGACAACACUCCCUGGGCCAGGAAGUGUGCCUGGCCACAUAAAGGACUAGUGAGAAGUGUCAGGGCUUUACCAUCCCCAAACAACCCUCAAGCUGGAUACACUUGAGGGAGUGAAGGACAGGAGUAGCUGGAUACACCUCUCUGCUUCCUUGCCCCUUUAUGGGACACUGCUGAAGUCCACACCAUUUUUCAAAGGGUCCCCAGCAGGACUGAGCCUCAGUUUCCCACAGCAGUACCUGAUUCAUUAAAGCAACUUCACUGGCUGUCUUAAGAGGGGUCUGAAACACAGACCCAGAAGUGGAGAUUUGCCCAUAGGAAGUUUAUUGGGGAUUUCCCUUGAGAUCAACACAUAGAGGAAGAGAGGAAGCAGGACUAGAUAAAAGAAGCUAUUGUACCACAGUGCAAUUAUAGCCUCAAAAGAUCCCACAGGAAGCCCUGGAGCUAGGACUUCAGAGUUGAACUACUUGAGACUGCGGUGGGGGACAGGCUAUUAAAUCCACACAUUGGCUAGUCAGUGGAGGUAGGCUGUCCCUAGAGCAGGACCUGGGUGAGGCUGCUCUCCUCUGCUGACAGCAAUUCCCAGGGAGGGACUCAGCUCAGAGCCACCUGCCAAUACCAAUACCAAUACCAAUACCAAUACCAAUACCAAUACUGUGAGAACCUGGGGGAAUGAGUGCCUCAGGCCUGGUGGGGAGUGGGUGGUCUGGGUAGGGAGCUACAGCACCCAUUAUGUCUUCUUUCCUCCUUUCCCUGCCUUUCUUCUCACUCUCUCACCAUCCUGAGGUUAUCUCCAAAUGAACUACCUAUACCCACAUUCUUGUCUCAGGGUCUGCUCUCGGGGAAACCUAAACAAAGAUGGGAAUUGUAGGAGCUGCAUUUUUAUUUUAUUUAUUUUUAAUUUUUUAUUGGUUAUGCCCAAGGCAUGCAGAAAUUUUCAGGUCAGGUGAGAGAAGUUAAUUGGAUUUUGGAAAUUUUGCACUUGAGGUGCCAGUGUGCUAUCUGAGUGGAGUUGUCCAUCAAGCGAGUGGAUAUUCAGGUCAAAAAGAUAAACUGAAGAGUUAGGUAGAUGACAGAGGUAGUUGAAACAAUAGAAGAAAUUGUUAAGGGAGAGAGUAAGGACAUGGAGAAAUCAACUAACAAUACUGGACAGUAUACUAGGGCUGAGGGCAGAUCCUUAGAAAGACCAAUACCUACAAGAUCAAAAAAGGAGGUAACAGUGGAGAGCAGUGCUCAGUGAUGGCAAAUAGCAGGUCCACCAAAUCCCAUUCUUCCUUGCUCCACCCACUGCAGACAUCACUAAUUGAUCACCAUGAUUUUUUCCACAGAGCUUGGACUUGCUUCAGAAUCCUUCCCAACAAUAGAAGUAACACUAACCUAUCAGAUUUGGCCCUUGAGAGAAAACCCUUUGCUAUCCUUGGCAUCACAGAAGCUAAGAAAAGAAAGGCUUGCCCAAAGAAGUGGGUGGGUGGGAACCAUAUUCAGUACUAAGAAGCAGAUGAGAACAAAGCCUGAAAAAAAGCCAGCUGGGCUGAAUGAAGAGGAGGUCCUACGGACCGUGGAGAACUGUUUUAGGAGCAGCAGGACAGCAAUCAGAGUGCAGGAUUCAAGCAGAUGCUGGCAUUUCCAUCUGCUAUCUGUUCAAGGGAGCACUGUACUAGGAGUGGGAAGUUUACGCUGUAAUCACCAAGUUCUUAGUAACCCACUGUGAUGCUACACUUUUUAUCUUGAGAAAUAAAAACAAUUUGAUCUUGGGAAGCAGUUAACAAUUACAUUUUGUCAGUGGAUAAAAUUUUACUUAAUUUUCUAAACCUGUUUUAAGAGUGCCAUGUGCUCCUUAUUUCUCAAAUACAUUAGAUUAGCCCAUAUGCAAUAUGCAUUUUGUUUGCAUAUUCCACAAUUGCAUUUGGUGGGUGCUGGAAAAGAUUUCAGAAAAAAUUCCUAAAUGCCAGUGGCUGCUGAUGUGGCAUAAGCAUUUGGCAACAGUAUCUUCUGCUUGCUAUAUUUAUGGCAUUUGACAUAAGCACCUAACACAAAAUCAGAAAUGGUCAGGAGAUGGCUCGUAGAAGAAAAUGAUCAAGAGACUCGGUCCCAGUAACCGUCUCAGCUCUGGCUCUAACUUAGAGUUGACCUUGGGUGAGUCGCUUAACCUCUGUAGUCCUUUGCUUCUUCAUCUAGAAAAUGAGAGUCCUGGCCUUGGGCAUUCUAGCUGAGAGGAGGUCUAUGAUUCAUCUCUGGCCAACCCACCGUUACCCCCAAAUUCAUCAGGCAGGGUCCUCAUCAAUAAUUUAUAGACACCUGCAGGUCAACUCUGCAUUAUCAGGUUUCUCUGACUCAUUCUGCUUUUAGUUAAAUUAAAACUCCCUUCUCCCUGCCAUCUGAAGACACCACCCAAAGUCUGAAGUUUUAGAGGUGAGAGUUGAUGACAUCUAAGUUGCUUUCAAAAUUCAACAUUUCUAGGAAGGGGCCAUCAGUAUUAAUUAAGUGCUGGCAGAUCUCAGGAUUCCUUAGUGUUCUAAAAAAAUGGGCCAACUUACUCAUCCUGUGUGCCCACGAGGGAUUUGGAUAUACCUGCAGAUGUGGUUACUGUUUCAAUUGGGCCUCAUCCAAAGGCCACAACACUCUGCUUCCUGCAAUUCAAGUGUGUUCAUACAGAAAAUUCUGAUGAAUACCUAAAGAAUUAAGCAACCCCCCUGGCCAAAACCAUUGAAGUCAUUGGGUAAGCUUGAAAGAAAGAACGGGUAUUAUAUUAUUGUUAUGAUAAAUCAGAGGUCAGGGUUUUGUGCCAGCUGUGCAUUUCUUUGAAUCCUGUGUUAUGAAGAACUGUGAAAGGAUCCAGAGCAAGGAAAGAAGGGAAGCAUCUAGAAUCUCUCCAGAGAUGCACUGCAUCCUUCAGA
This 5787-nucleotide long non-coding RNA is filed under the name Sus scrofa (pig). Its description in RNAcentral is "lncRNA (ENSSSCG00000063003.1)". The record is from RNAcentral. Lineage: Eukaryota; Metazoa; Chordata; Mammalia; Artiodactyla; Suidae.